Molecule: ribosomal RNA, 497 nt
Filed under: uncultured bacterium
Lineage: Bacteria
Description: partial 16S ribosomal RNA
Rfam family: Bacterial small subunit ribosomal RNA
Source: RNAcentral
GAUGAACGCUGGCGGCGUGCCUAAUACAUGCGGGUCGAGCGAACAGAUGAGGAGCUUGCUCCUCUGACGUUAGCGGCGGACGGGUGAGUAACACGUGGAUAACCUACCUAUAAGACUGGGAUAACUUCGGGAAACCGGAGCUAAUACCGGAUAAUAUAUUGAACCGCAUGGUUCAAUAGUGAAAGACGGUUUUGCUGUCACUUAUAGAUGGAUCCGCGCCGCAUUAGCUAGUUGGUAAGGUAACGGCUUACCAAGGCAACGAUGCGUAGCCGACCUGAGAGGGUGAUCGGCCACACUGGAACUGAGACACGGUCCAGACUCCUACGGGAGGCAGCAGUAGGGAAUCUUCCGCAAUGGGCGAAAGCUUGACGGAGCAACGCCGCGUGAGUGAUGAAGGUCUUCGGAUCGUAAAACUCUGUUAUUAGGGAAGAACAAAUGUGUAAGUAACUAUGCACGUCUUGACGGUACCUAAUCAGAAAGCCACGGCUAACUACGUG